GUCUACAACUGUACCACCCUGAAUGUGCCUGAUCUUGUCUGAUCUCUGAAACUAAGCAGGGUUGAGCCCGUUUAGUACUUGCAUAGGAGACUGCCUGGGAUUACCUGGUGCUAUAGGCU
This 119-nucleotide ribosomal RNA is filed under the name Prolemur simus (greater bamboo lemur). The record is from RNAcentral. Lineage: Eukaryota; Metazoa; Chordata; Mammalia; Primates; Lemuridae.